UAAUCAGGGAAGGACAGCUGCUUCCUUGUCAGCAACCAAGAGGGAAAUAAAGCUCAUGUCCCCUCCAGCGAAAACCUGCUCUCCGGGUCCCCUGGCUCCUGCCACCAACUGCUCGAUGUCUGUGUGCCAAUCCAAUUGGAAUGCCUGCGAGUCACCCCAGAGAGGGCUUAUUUUAACUUCAUCAACUGCAGAGAAAAACAUCCAGGCUGGAGCGUUUCCUAGUCAUGCUUCAAGACUCAGUGUCACUGGCUGCUUCCCCACCCCUCCGGGCAGAGUGAGAUGUUCUCCCUGGAUCCCUGCAGGAUUUUGUAUGUCCCUCUGUUUUCACAAGCCCUGUGCUGGGUGUCCAGGACAGAUGUGAACCCCAGCCGGUCCCUGCAGCACAAGGAUAGGAAUGUGUGCAAGAGACGUUUCUGACAGCGACUCCAAUUACAAGAGACUUACAUUUUUAGUUCAUUCAUUUAUUGUUUUUCUGUGCAUGCAGUGCUUUAAUAAUGAAAAUAACAAGAAAUGU
This is a long non-coding RNA of Physeter macrocephalus (sperm whale), 514 nucleotides long. RefSeq lists it as uncharacterized. The record is from RefSeq and is a predicted model, not a curated record. NCBI's taxonomy places the organism in Eukaryota, Metazoa, Chordata, Mammalia, Artiodactyla, Physeteridae. The transcript is spliced from 4 exons.